Molecule: non-coding RNA, 240 nt
Organism: Enterococcus sp. 2G9_DIV0600
Lineage: Bacteria; Bacillati; Bacillota; Bacilli; Lactobacillales; Enterococcaceae
Source: Rfam
GCAAACGCGAUGAAAAAGAAAGUAGAAUCAAGGUAGUUGUCUAGCAGAGAGUUCCGGUAGGUGAGAAGGAACGACAACGAAUGAUUUGAAAAUGACUUUGGAGCGGAUUUUCUGACUAAUUAGGAAAAUACGGUUGCCCCGUUAACAAGCGACAGUCUCCGAGUGUUUUCGGGUACUGAAUGAGGUGAAGCCUGUGAAGGUUUUGCAGAUUAAGGUGGUACCGCAGGUGAUGCCCUUAGC